RNAcentral lists this ribosomal RNA (123 nucleotides) under Rhizobium sp. NFR07. Its description in RNAcentral is "16S rRNA. Bacterial SSU". It matches the Rfam family "Bacterial small subunit ribosomal RNA", at positions 1 to 135 of the family's 1533-position model. The record is from RNAcentral. Lineage: Bacteria; Pseudomonadati; Pseudomonadota; Alphaproteobacteria; Hyphomicrobiales; Rhizobiaceae.
CUCAACUUGAGAGUUUGAUCCUGGCUCAGAACGAACGCUGGCGGCAGGCUUAACACAUGCAAGUCGAGCGCCCCGCAAGGGGAGCGGCAGACGGGUGAGUAACACGUGGGAAUCUACCCAUCC